RNAcentral lists this ribosomal RNA (903 nucleotides) under Triticum aestivum (bread wheat). RNAcentral's name for it is "partial small subunit ribosomal RNA". The record is from RNAcentral. Lineage: Eukaryota; Viridiplantae; Streptophyta; Magnoliopsida; Poales; Poaceae.
AUGCGCCAGCUAAGGCUCGUCACCAACAUGAGGGCUCAUAAUGACACCUGGUUUGCGGAUUACUUGCUAAGGGUAGGCAAUGGUACCGAGGAAGUUGACGAUCAAGGAAACAUACGACUCCCUGAAGAUAUUUGUGUGUCGUCUACAGGCGAGGGUGACGACCUGGAGAAGCUGAUUGACCGUGUGUUUCCGAGACUAGAUGACAACAUGUCUGAUCCGAAUUACAUGACUUCACGCGCAAUCCUCUCCACCACGAACGACAACGUCGACAAGAUAAACAUACACAUGGUAGAGCGUUUUCGGGGGGAAGAAGUAAUCUACCAUAGCUUUGACAGUGCAGAAGACGACCCAUAUGGCUACUAUGCUCCUGAGUUCCUAAAUGGACUGACUCCCAACGGUCUGCCUCCGCAUGCACUCAAACUGAAGCUCAACUGCCCUGCCAUACUUCUGAGGAACAUUGAUUCGGCUAAUGGUCUGUGUAAUGGGACGAGGCUUGUGGUGCGAGGUUUCGAGAGGAACGCCAUCGACGCAGAAAUCGUGAUCGGACAACACGCAGGUAGGAGGGUAUUCCUUCCUCGAAUACCCCUAUGCCCGUCUGACAACGACAUGUUUCCAUUCAAGUUCAAGAAGCAAUUUCCUGUAAGGCUUAGCUUUGCUAUGACGAUUAACAAGGCUCAAGGACAGACGAUUCCGAUUAUUGGCGUGUACCUACCUAAUCCGGUGGUUUAUCAUGGUCAACUCUAUGUCGCAUUGUCUUGAGCCACCGCGAAGAGAAAUAUAAAGAUCCUCAUUGAGAAGGAGAAGGAUAGGGAGAAUGGCAAGAAGCAAAGCAGUAAAUCAAAGAAGCGAAAAUGACAAACCUCGAUGAAGAACAUCGUCUAUAAGGAAGUCCUUACAGGCUGA